Small nuclear RNA from Rosa chinensis, 195 nucleotides. RefSeq annotates it as U2 spliceosomal RNA. NCBI's taxonomy places the organism in Eukaryota, Viridiplantae, Streptophyta, Magnoliopsida, Rosales, Rosaceae. The record is from RefSeq and is a predicted model, not a curated record. The transcript has a single exon.
AUACCUUUCUCGGCCUCUUGGCUAAGAUCAAGUGUAGUAUCUGUUCUUAUCAGUUUAAUAUCUGAUACGUGGAUUAAUGAUUCACAUGAUAUUAAAUUAAUUUUUUUAAGGGGUGAAUCUACUACAAUAGCUGGCUAUUGAGGCUCACAAGUGUCAUUUUUGCGUUGCACUACAGCAAAGCUUGGCACACGCUAC